ACUUUCAACGGUGGAUCUCUUGGCUCGUGCAUCGAUGAAGAACGUGGCAAGACGCGAAAUGUAGUGUGAAUUGCAGAAUUCCGUGAAUCAUUGAAUCUUCGAACGCACAUUGCGCCUGUGUGUGUGGGCAUGCGCCAUUGUGUGCGUGUCUGUGCGUGCGGGCAUGUCUGCCUGAGUGUCGCCACUCAAUCUCAUUGACAAUGCGUUUUUGUGUGCUUACGAGUGUGUGAGUGUUUGUGUGGGUGUAUUUGAUUACUGCAACUAUGCAGCAGCAGCAGCAGCGCACCUUUGUUGGUGUGGUGAUGCUUGUUGUGUAGCAGUAUGAGGAAGCGCCCAUGCAUCAUGUACUCGUAUCCCAUUAUUGCACUGUGCAUUGUUGGUGGCCAUGGGGUGUUAGUCGAUGCGGUGCACACACACAUUUUUGCUGUGUGUGUGUAUUGUGUGAGACUGGACUCUGAAGAGGAGAGCUUACGACUCCAUUGCGAUGAUGAUGGUGAUAGUGACUGUGACGAAGAAGGAGUGGGUGUUUGUGUGUGUGAGCAUGUGGAUUGCAUUGCACGAUGAUACGAUGCCUUGUGCGUUGUGUUGUUGCAGUUGAUGUGAUUCACACACACACACAUCCCACUUCUAUUCUCAUACUGUUGUCAUCACUCACUGUCGCUGUGUGGGUGCCGUUGUUGCGAGACCACGGCAAGCACGCGCAUGCUGUAUCUGCAUAUGCAGCAGGAUACACCAAGCUGUGGAGCGAUGUGUCAACUGGCAUCGUUGUUCUGCAGGGUGUGUAUGCUGUGUGUGUGUGUGAAGAGGCAUGUGCACUUGUGUGCUUGCAUCUUUAUGUGGCUUUUGUGACACUGGUCAUGUGAGCAAAAACACUGAUGAAGAAGAGAGGGAACAUGUGUGAGAGAGAAAGGAAAGCUGGAAUAGUGGUGGACGGAGCACUGUUUGUGUGCAUAGCACUGCACUUGUUGCAGUGUAUGCGCACAGACCACUGCAUCCAUCCACACCACUCCACUCCACUUUUUCACCCUCUCAAACCCCUUCCCCUCCUCUACUCAUUCUCAUUGUUGACCUCAGGUCAGGCAAGGGUACCCCCUGAACUUAAGCAUAUCACUAAGGGGAGGAAGAGAAACUAACAAGGAUUCCCUCAGUAACGGCGAGUGAAGCGGGAAGAGCUCAAGCAUUGGAAUCUCCACAAGCUUCUUUUUUGUGGCGAGUUGUAGUCUUUAUGGGAUGCGGGCCGUCGCAUGUCUUUGUGAUGGUGCACAGCUUUUGUUGUGCAUUGUUGUUUGGCGCAGCACCGAGUUUCCUUGGAAGAGGACACCGGAGAGGGUGAGAGUCCCGCUGGUGCUAGUUUAUUUGCGCUGAUGUGCGGUGUGUGGUCCGUUUAUUCUCUUGAGUCGGGUUGUUUGGGAAUGCAGCCCAAAGCCGGGUGGUAAACUGCAUCCAAGGCUAAAUACUGGCACGAGACCGAUAGCGAACAAGUACCGUGAGGGAAAGAUGAAAAGCACUUUGAAAAGAGAGUUAAACAGUACGUGAAACCGUUGACAGAGAAUCGCUUGCAGCUAGCAGAGACUGGGCGCGCCUUGUGAUCAGGGUUUUUGGUGUGGUGUGUGAUGACGGUGCGGGGGGUGUAUUGUGUGCACUUGUUGCACAUAUGCGCCGCUGCGUUGCUGUUGUUGUGUGCUGCGCUGCCUGCACUCGCGGGGCGUGUCUGCCAGCAUGAGUUUUGUGUGUGAGAGACGGCGAUGCGAGGGCGCCCUUGUGCGUGGCGCAUCUGCUUUUUUAUGUUUCUGUCGCACGUGGGACUGAGGAAAUUAUCGAUGCGGUGGCUUUGUUAUGUGGUCUUUGGCAUGGGUGCUGUUUUCGGCAUUGUGUUGCGCAGACUCUUGUUUUGGGAUGAGAGACUCGUUCUCUUGUGCUGUUGACAGAGUGUGUGCGGGCAGUGUUGGGAAUGUUGCGCUUGCCGCUUGGCGCACACCACCGGGGAGAUGCUGGCGACAGGGCUGCAAACGGCCCGUCUUGAAACACGGACCAAGGAGUCUAACAUGUGCGCGAGUGUUUUAGCGAGCAUGAAGCUAGGGCGCGCAAUGAAAGUGAGAGGUGGGAUGCAGUGUUGGGAAGUGUGCGUGAGUACACUUUUAACAGCAGCACUCGCAGCACCAUCGACCGAUCUGGAUUGGGGGAGGGGAAAGGGGUGUGCGGUGGCUCCACCCUCCUCCGCUGAAGGAUUUGCGUUUUAGCGCAGAUGUUAGGACCCGAUAGAUGGUGAACUAUGCCUGAGUAGGGCGAAGCCAGAGGAAACUCUGGUGGAGGCUCGUAGCGAUCAUGACGUGCAAAUCUGUCGUCGAACUUGGGUAUAGGGGCGAAAGACUCAUCGAACCAUCUAGUAGCUGGUUCCCACCGAAGUUUCCCUCAGGAUAGCUGAGACUUAUUUUAUGAUCUUUUGGUUAGUUUUAUCUGGUAAAGCGAAUGAUUAGAGGCCUUGGGGGAGCCACUUCCCUCAACCUAUUCUCAAACUUUAAAUGGGUAAGGCGGCGCGCUUUCUUUGUUUAUGAAGCGGGCAAUGCUGAAUAACCGAGUCUCAAGUGGGCCAUUUUUGGUAAGCAGAACUGGCGAUGCGGGAUGAACCGAACGCGGAGUUAGGGUGCCGGAAUCGACGCUCAUGAGAACCCACAAAAGGUGUUGGUUGAUAUAGACAGCAGGACGGUGGCCAUGGAAGUCGGAAUCCGCUAAGGAGUGUGUAACAACUCACCUGCCGAAUCAACUAGCCCUGAAAAUGGAUGGCGCUCAAGCGUCGUACCUAUACUCCGCUGUGUGUGGAAGAGAGCGAGCGAAGCGAGCAUUCGUGCUUGUUGCGUCUCAAAACUACAUGUAGCCACACACAAGUAGGUGGGCGUGGAGGUGUUUGCGUGAGAGCAAUCUUUUUGCCGUGGAAGCCUGUGGCGUGAGCCUGGGUGGAGGGGCCUCCAGUGCAGAUCUUGGUGACAGUAGCAACGAUUCAAAUGAGAGCUUUGAAGACUGAAGUGGAGCAAGGUUCCGUGGGAACAGCAGUUGGCCACGGGUGAGUCGGUCCUAAGAGAUGGGGCAGUCCUGUGUCAAGUGGGGAGUUGUUGCGUGUGUGUGGGUGGUGGUGAUAUUAUCGCCAUGCUUGCACACGUGUUGAAUACCCCAGUCCAUCGAAAGGGAACCAGGUUAAGAUUCCUGGACCAACGCACGCCACAAAGAAUGUUUUGAUAGAGCAGCGGCAACGCGUACAAACUCGGAGACGCUGCCGGGGGCCCUGGAAAGAGUUUUCUUUUCUUUUUAACGAGCUGCAUUGUGGGGGGGAGUAGGGGGAAGAGUGUUAGUUUAUUCUGCGCUCUUCAACCUUCCUCGUCGCAUUCUCUGACCCUGGAAUCAGUUUGGCUGGAGAUGGGGUGAGAGGCUCGGCAAAGCACCACUGACCUCUUUUUGUUGUGGUGUCCGGCGCGUUCCCGGCGGUCCAUGAAAAUCCGAGGGUGUGAAUGGUAGCAGUGUGGGGGGAAGAAGAGAAGCACUUGUGCUAAUCUAUUUUCUCCGCUGCAUGUGGGCGUGGUUGGCCGUACUGAUAACCGCAGCAGGUCUCCAAGGUGAAGAGCCUCUAGUUUGAUAGACGAAUGUAGGUAAGGGAAGUCGGCAAAAUAGAUCCGUAAGCUCGCGAUAAGGAUUGGCUCAAGAGGUUGAUUGUGUGUGUGGGUGUGGGGGUGAAAGGGGGUGUGCUUGCAUGCCGUUCUUGCACCUCUACAUUCUGCGCACACUAUUUUUUAGCAACCGAUCUUGAACUGGUACGGACAAGGGGAAUCCGACUGUUUACUUAAAACAAAGCAUUGCGAGGAUAGGCUGUUGCGACGGUGUAGACGCAAUGUGAUUUCUGCCCAGUGCUCAGAAUGUCAACGUGAAGAAAUUCAAGCCAAGCGCGGGAUCAACGGCGGAAGUAACUAUGACUUUCUUAAGGUAGCCAAAUGCCUCGUCAUUUAACUGGUGACGCGCAUGAAUGGAUUAACGAGAUUCCCACUGUCCCUAUCUACGCUCUAGCGAAACCGCAGCCAAGGGAACGGACUUGGCACAAUCAGCGGGGAAAGAAGACCCGCUAGAGCUUGACUCUAGUCCGACCGUGUUAGGGUUAGAGAGGUGUAGCAUAGGUGGGAGCAAAUGCAUUAAAUUGUGCUUGCGGCCUUGAAAUACCACUACUCUGGUCGUUUUUUUGCUUAUUGAAUGACACGGGGCUGGUGUGGGUGAUUGUGGUGUGCGUAGCGCGCAUUUCUUGUGUGAGCUGUGCGCACCCGAUCACACAUGUGCACCAUUUCUGGAGAAAGGGAGGGCAGCGUGGAGUGCUUCUUGCGCUUCAUGUUAUGCCGAUCCCGACCCGCUUUCAAGACGAGGUCAGGUGGGGAGUUUGGCUGGGGCGGCACAUCUGUAAAACGAUAACGCAGGUGUCCCAAGGUGAGCUCAAUGAGAACGGAAAUCUCAUGUGGAGUAAAAGGACAAAAGCUCACUUGAUUUUGUGAUUUUCAGGAUGAAUACAAACUGUGAAAGCAUGGCCUAUCGAUCCUUUAGUCGCGGCGGAUAAGAGUGAACAACGCACUCGUGCGUCUAAGCUCCCAUUCUGCACUGCGCCUGUUGACAGCUUCAACCUAGAGGUGUCCGAAAAGUUACCGGCGGCUCUGGCAACCAGGGGAUAUUCCUCGUUGCCUUGGUUAUAUCUAUACCAUCGUGUAAAUGAUCAUAUCCCUCACUUGUUUAUUCCAUACACACACACACACACACACACACACACACACACACUCACGCGUCAAAGCCAAAGCUGUAGUGGUAUGAACGCAUGGACGAUUCAGCAGCAGGACGCAAACACUUUGGGGUAUGACUGCAACCAAUGGCCAUGCCUGGACAACCAAUGCGUGACGUAUUCAACGUGCUCGUCUCUCCACACAAAUGCGCCGGAUUCACACAAGGCACAACCCACUCAUACAACUGAUGUUCAUCACCCCUUGUCUCAUACACCAGCAACGGGUUCGUGUUUCCACGAUGGCACAGGUGCGAACCAACAAACUCCACCUGCGACCCAUCCCGUCUACGCUGCUCACGCCUGAACUGCCAAUACAGACCAGAAAACACUUGACCAGACACACCAUUGCUCACGAACGUAGGAUUCACACCUUUUGCAAUGCCUUUCACCACCUUCAGGUUUCCCUGCUCAUCAUACACAAGCGGUGCCAAAUGCUUGAUGUAGUAUGCAGGAUUUCCAUUCGCGUCGUUCACCGUCUCAUACACGGGCAAGCACUUGCUCAGCUGAAUAAGCAGUCGUCGUUGCCACUGCGCCACAAUCUCACUCGACGAUUCAUCCAUGCUGUUAAUGUUCCGCACGGGUCUUGCAAGCAUUCGGUUCGUCCUCGGAUUGCGUUCCCUCACAUACAUAUCAAAAUCACCAUCGUCCUGCCCCAAUGCAUUCAGAACGAUUGGAUCGAUUUGCUGCUCAGGGUUUACGUUCGUCAUCGGUGGCUGAGGCACUCGAAUUGAAAACCGUGGUGGUGGUGUCAAGCUGUACGGCAUAUCAGCUGCGAUCCGAGCUCCAGGACCCAUGCCCAGUCCCCUUCUCCCGAACCUCACACCUCCUACUCUGUUCAAAGGGAAACGAUCAACAUAGCUGGUAUUGGGAUCUCUCUCCUCCAGCAACCGUACUUCACCUGCGCUUAGCCUUCGACUUCGCCCUGGUCCUGGCAUUCGCCCUGCUCCUCUUCGCCCGCUCCCUCUGUGUGCUCUUGAUGCUGAUCUUGAUGCUGACCUUGCUGCUGGUCUUGAUGCUGAUCUUGAUGCUGAUGCAGCCUGAACACGUCGCCUUCUGCUGCUGGAACUUGAACUUGCAGGAGCGUUUGGAUCUCGACGCGUGUCCAUCCUGCGCACAUUGGGAAGCGCAUCCACGUUCACAUCAGAGCGAACCCCGCCGGAUGUCACCGAUGUCGGUGGGUCUCGUGCUGCUGGCACUCUUUCAGGGCGAACCAGGGAAAGCUCUUGCCAUACGGAGCGGGCAUCCCGGCGCACAAUCGUUGGACGAUAAUUGUCCUGGAAAUCAUCAUCGUCAUCAUCAUCAUCAAACUCCCCAUCAUCAUCAUACACAUCGUCUUGCUGGCGACGCGCCAUCUUUCUUCACAUGCAGAAAUAAAUGCACACGACAGUACAUUUUU
RNAcentral lists this ribosomal RNA (6200 nucleotides) under Salpingoeca rosetta. Its description in RNAcentral is "28S ribosomal RNA". The stretch from base 1066 to 4767 matches the Rfam family "Eukaryotic large subunit ribosomal RNA". The record is from RNAcentral. Lineage: Eukaryota; Choanoflagellata; Craspedida; Salpingoecidae.